AGUGAAUGCUUGUAAUAUACUUAACACAUGCAAGUUGAACGUGCAACUAUUGUUGUGAGUGGCGUACGGGUGAGUAAUGCAGAGGAACAGAUUUUGCAGUAAGGUAUUAUGUUUAUGCAGAAAUUCCUUAUACUUAAAGAUUAUGAUCGCUGUAAAAUUGGCCUUUGUAAGAUUAGGUAGUAGGUGAGGUAAUAGCUCACCUAGCCGAAGAUCUUUAACUGGCUGAGAGGAUGAUCAGUCACACCGGAACUGAAAUAAGGUUCGGACUCCCUUGGGAGGCAGCAGUGAGGAAUAUUGGACAAUGUGCGAAAGCAUGAUCCUGUAAUAUUACUUGAGUGAAGACGUUAAUUUUAUGUAAAGCUCUUUAACUAAGAAAGGAUUAUGACGUUAUCUAGUGAAUAGUCCUGCUAACUUCGUGCCAGCCGCCGCAGUAAU
RNAcentral lists this ribosomal RNA (435 nucleotides) under uncultured bacterium. RNAcentral's name for it is "bacterial SSU rRNA". It matches the Rfam family "Bacterial small subunit ribosomal RNA", at positions 29 to 524 of the family's 1533-position model. The record is from RNAcentral.